RNAcentral lists this unclassified non-coding RNA (335 nucleotides) under soil metagenome. RNAcentral describes it as "partial contains 5.8S ribosomal RNA, internal transcribed spacer 2, and large subunit ribosomal RNA". The stretch from base 1 to 120 matches the Rfam family "5.8S ribosomal RNA", at positions 35 to 154 of the family's 154-position model. The record is from RNAcentral.
GAUGAAGAACGUAGCGAAAUGCGAUAAGUGAUGUGAAUUGCAGAAUUCAGUGAAUCAUCGAAUCUUUGAACGCACAUUGCGCCCGCCAGUAUUCUGGCGGGCAUGCCUGUUCGAGCGUCAUUUCAACCAUCAAGCCCCCGGCUUGUGUUGGGGACCUGCGGCUGCCGCAGGCCCUGAAAACCAGUGGCGGGCUCGCUAGUCACUCCGAGCGUAGUAAUACAUCUCGCUCAGGGCGUGCUGCGGGUUCCGGCCGUUAAAAAGCCUUAUUUACCCAAGGUUGACCUCGGAUCAGGUAGGAAGACCCGCUGAACUUAAGCAUAUCAAUAAGCGGAGGA